UUAUUCUUUAUUUCGUUAUUAGGCAAUUUGGAAAGUGCGAUUAAGUUUUCGACAAAGCCUAGCCGACAUCAAAGUAAAACUUUCGACGAGUCGGAAGGAAAAAGUGGGUGUAUGUAGGUAACCAAAAAACCGUAUAUUUCUUGGCAGAAAAAGCGUAUUUGACAGAUUCCCGAAUACACUCAACUAAUUGAAGUGAUUUUGGCGCAGGUAAGUGCAUUUACCACAUCAAAGUGAAUCAUUAACCAAAACUCGGGCAAACAAAUUGAUUGCAUCGCCUUGGAGUAAUGGACGUUGCCACUUCUGGUUUGUUUGUCUAAUAAAUUGAACACACAGAAACACAUCCCAUCCAUUCAUAUAAGCACACACGUUGUAAUUUCUAAAUCAAAAAUAAACAUCGGACGGGAUUGGGAGGUGAAUUUGGCCAAAAUCAAAUGUGCAGCUGCUAAUAUGAAAAGUACACACAAACGGAAGAGUUAAUCCUUAUCGACAAUUUGACAUCAGCAGUUUUCGGUGCUUUUGCUUUCAAAUAACAGAAACCAUUAAGUUGUCACAUCCAGGCAGCCACGACCCCUAGUGCCAUAAAAAAAAUAUAUGGCUAUACGUUGGAAAUCGGAAAAACGGGAAAAGUGCCGAAAAGCUGGUGGAGUGCGACGGUAGCAUGAUUUUCGCCACUGGCUGUCGCGCUUUUCCGGGGGCAAAAAACGGGACCAGGAGUUGCCCCUUUGGUGCAAUGCAUUUGCAACUUAAUGCGCCGAAAGCUGCGAGUUUUUCGCUAAUGCACAAUUUGUAUGCGUCAACACUUUCGUCAGCGGAAAAGGGGCAGAACCAGCUAGCACCAAGUGGAGUUUCCACGGGCUUUCAUUUUUAUCAACGGAAAUAUCAAAAAGCCCAUUGAUAAGUUGGACUACCCACUGCCCACCAUCCAUCUUAUGCUUCUGCAAAUAGCUGCAUCCCAUCGCUUACCAAAGAACUAAGCCGAAAUGGAGGCCAAGUGAAUCAGUGACCUGCAAGACAUAAAAUCCUGUCCUCCUCAUCCGCAGCCUGCCGCUCGAUCCAGGGCCACCUGUUCGACGGCCAACUCUUUGGCAAUUUGUGUGCAUCGCCGACUGCAGAUGUUUUUCCUCUGCUCGGUUCGAGGUCUCGCUCCACAAACUUGCAGAUUUAUUGCCCAGAAACUUUUAUUGCCUGCAAGAAUAUGUACGGGCCGAGAUAAAGAUGCAAUCUGGAACUUGUUUGGCGAGUGGAACACUUUGCCAUCUGCCAUCCAAAAGAGUGUGGGGUAAUUGAAGUCACUCAGUCGUGGAGGUGGCACUAGUCCAGGUCGCAUUUGUCUAUCCCUGCGUUCCCAUUUAGACUCGGAUCUAGAUAUAUAAUUGAAAUUAAAUUUCAGGUUCUUUAAUACCAUAUUUGCCAAACUUAAAAGCAUGCUCCUAACGAUUGAUUGGACCGUUUACACAAACAUAAAUGUGCCCGAAAACGUUAUGAUUUACUUCAUUUUUGAUUUACUUGUUUUAUGUUUUUCUUUUUGAACAGCUUGCAGUAAACUUCGAACCUAAUCGGAAAUCUUAGCUCUAUUAACCUAUCGAUAGUUUUGUCACAACUUUCUCCCAUCCCUGAAAAAAGAGUGCAAGCAACUCUAAUUUUCUGCAUUUGAUGCCACUUGGAAACUUCUCAGAAUGGGGCCAGUGGAUCAAAACCCAGCAGCUAACCACGCUACGAGGAAAGGUAUUCAAAAAAAGGAAAAUAAGUUGCAAAAAUUAAAGGGGAGCAAUUGGAACGUGAAAAGUAAUAGCUUGCGGAAAGAAGGGUACCCAAAUGAGUCAGUUUGCAAAACCCAAGUUCAGACCGGUCCCAAUCCAACACUUAUUUCCGAUACGCACUACCAAUUGUUGGACUGAAGCUGCUACAAGAAUACCACCAGUGAUCUAUGCCACAUGGUCUUUGGGCGAGAGACAUUGGGAACCUAUUCAUUGACUGGGCGACCUGGCAGGUUCUCAGUGCUCCUGGCCAAGCAUUCCAAGCCCAAGCUAAAUUCCUCGAAGCUGAAGAACAUAGUGUUUCUGACCACACACAAGUUUCAGAUGGAUCGCAAGCAGGUGGAACUGGUGAUACGGCAGGUCUGCCGGAACGCAGCCAGAGGCUCGAGGAGGAAAGAUAAAUAAAGUCAACAUAUACUUUUGUAUUCACAAUAAAGAGUCCCAUUUCCAUAGAA
This is a long non-coding RNA of Drosophila ananassae, 2212 nucleotides long. RefSeq lists it as uncharacterized. The transcript is spliced from 2 exons. The record is from RefSeq and is a predicted model, not a curated record. NCBI's taxonomy places the organism in Eukaryota, Metazoa, Arthropoda, Insecta, Diptera, Drosophilidae.